Molecule: long non-coding RNA, 515 nt
Filed under: Pan troglodytes (chimpanzee)
Lineage: Eukaryota; Metazoa; Chordata; Mammalia; Primates; Hominidae
Description: long non-coding RNA NONPTRT011809
Source: RNAcentral
CGACUCCAACAUCCGCCUCUGGGUGGUCCUACCCAUCGUUAUCAUCACUUUCUUCGUAGGCAUGAUCCGCCACUACGUGUCCAUCCUGCUGCAGAGCGACAAGAAGCUCACCCAGGAACAAGUAUCUGACAGGUCAGCGCCCUCCCUUCUCCAGCCUACCUCACACCGCCGUGACCUGCCAUGAUUUUCUGCCCAUGGUUCACUAUUAGAGCAAUGGUUCUGAAUUAUAUCAGAUCCAAAGCUCUCUUUUGUAACCAUAAAAUGAAAUUCACAUUUAGUGUAGUCUGUUUACAAGAACCUUGCUCAUAAUUGCUGCAUCCCUUAAGUGAGGUAGUUGGAUUAUACCAGCUCUGACAUGGAGUGGCUCAGUCUCAUCAGGUCAUCAUUUGACUUGAGCAAAAUGCUGUACAUGCUGAACCGGCCUAAGUCCAAGAAAAAGGUGUGUUUUAGUUGUAAAACUUUUUUUUUCUUUUUUUUUUUUUAAGUGACAAGUCUUGCUGUGUCACCCAGGCUGG